This 125-nucleotide ribosomal RNA is filed under the name Tuber sp. Tsp-hr02. RNAcentral's name for it is "partial 5.8S ribosomal RNA". It matches the Rfam family "5.8S ribosomal RNA", at positions 32 to 154 of the family's 154-position model. Rfam says of the family: 5.8S ribosomal RNA (5.8S rRNA) is a component of the large subunit of the eukaryotic ribosome. Lineage: Eukaryota; Fungi; Ascomycota; Pezizomycetes; Pezizales; Tuberaceae. The record is from RNAcentral.
AUUGAUGAAGAACGCAGCGAAAUGCGAUAAGUAAUGUGAAUUGCAGAAUUCAGUGAAUCAUCGAAUCUUUGAACGCACAUUGCGCCCCUUGGCAUUCCUUGGGGCAUGCCUGUUCGAGCGUCACU